GGGGAUGUAGCUCAGUGGUAGAGCGCAUGCUUAGCAUGCAUGAGGUCCUGGGUUCAAUCCCCAGCAUCUCCA
Molecule: transfer RNA, 72 nt
Filed under: Mus musculus domesticus (western European house mouse)
Lineage: Eukaryota; Metazoa; Chordata; Mammalia; Rodentia; Muridae
Also listed under: 2 other names
Description: tRNA-Ala (AGC) (tRNA-Ala-AGC-2-1)
Rfam family: tRNA
About the family: Transfer RNA (tRNA) molecules are approximately 80 nucleotides in length. Their secondary structure includes four short double-helical elements and three loops (D, anti-codon, and T loops). Further hydrogen bonds mediate the characteristic L-shaped molecular structure. tRNAs have two regions of fundamental functional importance: the anti-codon, which is responsible for specific mRNA codon recognition, and the 3' end, to which the tRNAs corresponding amino acid is attached (by aminoacyl-tRNA synthetases). tRNAs cope with the degeneracy of the genetic code in two manners: having more than one tRNA (with a specific anti-codon) for a particular amino acid; and 'wobble' base-pairing, i.e. permitting non-standard base-pairing at the 3rd anti-codon position.
Source: RNAcentral